Molecule: ribosomal RNA, 337 nt
Filed under: Clostridium yunnanense
Lineage: Bacteria; Bacillati; Bacillota; Clostridia; Eubacteriales; Clostridiaceae
Description: bacterial SSU rRNA
Rfam family: Bacterial small subunit ribosomal RNA
Source: RNAcentral
UAAAUUGAGAGUUUGAUCCUGGCUCAGGACGAACGCUGGCGGCGUGCCUAACACAUGCAAGUCGAGCGGAGAAAGUUCUUCGGAACUUUCUCAGCGGCGGACGGGUGAGUAACACGUGGGUAACCUGCCUUAUAGAGGGGGAUAGCCUUCCGAAAGGAAGAUUAAUACCGCAUAACAUUUUCGUUUCGCAUGAAAUGAAAAUCAAAGGAGUAAUCCGCUAUAAGAUGGACCCGCGGCGCAUUAGCUAGUUGGUGAGGUAAUGGCUCACCAAGGCGACGAUGCGUAGCCGACCUGAGAGGGUGAUCGGCCACAUUGGAACUGAGAUACGGUCCAGACU